This 816-nucleotide ribosomal RNA is filed under the name uncultured bacterium. RNAcentral's name for it is "bacterial SSU rRNA". It matches the Rfam family "Bacterial small subunit ribosomal RNA", at positions 8 to 796 of the family's 1533-position model. The record is from RNAcentral.
AGAGUUUGAUCAUGGCUCAGAACGAACGCUGGCGGCGUGGAUAAGACAUGCAAGUCGAGCGCUGAUCACAGGGUAGCAAUAUUCUGUGGUUGGAGCGGCGCAAGGGUGCGUAACACGUGGGUAAUCUGCCAUGAAGUUUGGGAUAACUUGCUGAAAAGGCGAGCUAAUACCGGAUGUGAAAAUUGGAAGGCAUCUUUUGAUUUUCAAAGCUGGGGAUCUGUAAGGACCUGGCGCUUCAUGAUGAGCCCGCGGCCUAUCAGCUAGUUGGUAAGGUAACGGCUUACCAAGGCUAAGACGGGUAGCUGGUCUGAGAGGACGACCAGCCACACUGGAACUGAGACACGGUCCAGACACCUACGGGUGGCAGCGGUCGAGAAUUUUUCACAAUGGGCGCAAGCCUGAUGGAGCGACGCCGCGUGGGGGAUGAAUGGCUUCGGCCCGUAAACCCCUGUCAUUUGCGAACAAAUUGCUCAACCUAACACGUGGAGCAUUGAUAGUAGCGAAAGAGGAAGGGACGGCUAACUCUGUGCCAGCAGCCGCGGUAAUACAGAGGUCCCAAGCGUUGUUCGGAUUCACUGGGCGUAAAGGGUGCGUAGGUGGUAGGGUAAGUCGGAUGUGAAAGCUCGGAGCUCAACUCCGAAAUGGCAUUGGAAACUACCCAACUAGAGGCGGAGGGGGGACUGGAAUUCUUGGUGUAGCAGUGAAAUGCGUAGAUAUCAAGAGGAACACCAGUGGCGAAGGCGAGUCCCUGGACGACUCCUGACACUGAGGCACGAAAGCUAGGGGAGCAAACAGGAUUAGAUACCCUAGUAGUCC